GGGGUUCUAGCUCAGUGGUAGAGCGCAUGCUUAGCAUGCACAAGGUCCUGGGUUCAAUCCCCGGCACCUCCA
This 72-nucleotide transfer RNA is filed under the name Camelus bactrianus (Bactrian camel). It matches the Rfam family "tRNA". From Rfam's summary of the family: Transfer RNA (tRNA) molecules are approximately 80 nucleotides in length. Their secondary structure includes four short double-helical elements and three loops (D, anti-codon, and T loops). Further hydrogen bonds mediate the characteristic L-shaped molecular structure. tRNAs have two regions of fundamental functional importance: the anti-codon, which is responsible for specific mRNA codon recognition, and the 3' end, to which the tRNAs corresponding amino acid is attached (by aminoacyl-tRNA synthetases). tRNAs cope with the degeneracy of the genetic code in two manners: having more than one tRNA (with a specific anti-codon) for a particular amino acid; and 'wobble' base-pairing, i.e. permitting non-standard base-pairing at the 3rd anti-codon position. The record is from Rfam by way of RNAcentral. Lineage: Eukaryota; Metazoa; Chordata; Mammalia; Artiodactyla; Camelidae. RNAcentral also lists the same sequence under 1 other name.